GAGUGACGCUCAGAUACAAUAGUGC
This 25-nucleotide unclassified non-coding RNA is filed under the name Mus musculus (house mouse). RNAcentral's name for it is "oocyte_clustered_small_RNA12194". The record is from RNAcentral. Lineage: Eukaryota; Metazoa; Chordata; Mammalia; Rodentia; Muridae.